UUCUUGCUUAAGACUGUCCAAAUUUUUCAGAGUAAAUAGGACCAAUUUCGAAUCUAAAAGUGAAGGAGAAGAAAAUCUUUCAAGUCUUCAAGUUCCUUCGAACGAUUGGGCUCGAGACGAGUAUUUCUCCUUUGUUCUCAAAGAGAACAUACGACUAAUACCAAUUUCGAGUCAAAUCGAAAUCGCCCGAGGUUUAUCAAGCCCUGUCGGUAUGGCCAUCGAGGUAUUUUCUUUGUUUUGUCUCCUUUGUCUCCCUCGUCUGUUUCGUUCUUAAACCUGGAUUAUUCUGUUUCUUCUCUUCUCAUUCCUUUUAAUGUUCGUGGUAAUGAAUUUGAGUCCUCUUCCUCUUUAAUUUAAGUUUGUUAUUUGAAGUUCAAUGAAAUAGGAAUUAGCGUAUCAAUGUCAUGGUUUAACUUGAUUAGUUAAUCAAUUUAAUUACUUUAAAUGACUGUUUUCGAGCUUCUUUAGUGAAAUCUUUUUCUAUUGAAAAUUCAAAAGUUGGUUUGUUCGAAAGAUUCUUACUAAAUUCAGAAUUUGAAAACUCAAUUUAGAAUGCUAGUAUAUAGACUUAUGGUUUGCACUGGGUCUUGGGUUAAUUCAACACUGGGUCAACUUUGACCCAUAUCUAUUAUGGUUUCCGAAGGUAAAUAAUAGUUGUUUAAGGGGUAGUUUAGGGAAAUUAGGCAGGGGAAUCUUUUAUAACUGCAUUAGGAAGCUUCUAGGUUAGUGGGGAAGGGAUUGGCUUGCAAAACUGAUUUUUAUUGGGGUUUGAACUGAAUGAAGGAAAUUUGGGGAAGGGGUAAAUAGCAAUUAAUAAACUCUUUGCUCUGCCCUAACCCAUCUCUAUAAAAGCCCCAUUUCCUGAAAAUUUUAAGGGGAUGAGAUUGUAUCAAAUAAAAAACGACUGAAAAAUACCGAACGAGUUUGAAUAAUUAGAAAAAUACAAAGACAAAUCAUAGAAUUACUGUUAAAUUGAAGUUUUUCUGCAAUUCUAAUGGUUCUCAAGUUUGAAAGUAAUCUUUGAUUCAUUUUGGGCUCGAUUUAGUGUAAUGAAGUUGGAUUUGAUAUUGUUGAACUGCUGAAGUGCACCUGCUUCUGAUGUUGAUCUUGUCACCCCUUUCUUUUGCUCUAAAUUGCAUCAGGUAUUCUCCUGAAACUAUGGUGGAAAUGAAGCCUGAUUAAGUUUUGUAAAUAGAUCUGCGAAUCGAGCUAAAGUUUAAAUGAAAAACACUAGUUCAUGUUGUAAUUACUGCUCGAUUUUGCCAUUUUUCAUGCUUUUAGUCUAGUUUAUUUUAGAUAUUUCAUUCCUGAAUGUACAUUUAAUUUAAGUGUUGGGUGGACUUUGUUUGAAUAUAGGUGAUUCAGGAAUGUUUUAAAUCUAGUAUAAUCUGUGUUAAUUGAAGAUUAUGAUUCCAAAUUUAAUUAGUUAAGGCUGGAUGGUUUCGAUGUAUGUUUCAUGGCUAUGGUUUGAAUUACAAGUUUAGACCCUUCAUGUUGUUGUUCUAGCAAG
This 1510-nucleotide long non-coding RNA is filed under the name Nicotiana benthamiana. Its description in RNAcentral is "long non-coding RNA (NBEN_LNC013342)". Lineage: Eukaryota; Viridiplantae; Streptophyta; Magnoliopsida; Solanales; Solanaceae. The record is from RNAcentral.